RNAcentral lists this ribosomal RNA (454 nucleotides) under uncultured bacterium. RNAcentral describes it as "partial 16S ribosomal RNA". It matches the Rfam family "Bacterial small subunit ribosomal RNA", at positions 28 to 507 of the family's 1533-position model. The record is from RNAcentral.
GAUGAACGCUGACAGAAUGCUUAACACAUGCAAGUCAACUUGAACUUCGGUUUGGGUGGCGGACGGGUGAGUAACGCGUAAAGAACUUGCCUCACAGUUAGGGACAACAUUUGGAAACGAAUGCUAAUACCUGAUAUUAUGAUUUUAGGGCAUCCUAGAAUUAUGAAAGCUAUAUGCGCUGUGAGAGAGCUUUGCGUCCCAUUAGCUAGUUGGAGAGGUAACGGCUCACCAAGGCGAUGAUGGGUAGCCGGCCUGAGAGGGUGAACGGCCACAAGGGGACUGAGACACGGCCCUUACUCCUACGGGAGGCAGCAGUGGGGAAUAUUGGACAAUGGACCAAGAGUCUGAUCCAGCAAUUCUGUGUGCACGAUGAAGUUUUUCGGAAUGUAAAGUGCUUUCAGUUGGGAAGAAAAAAAUGACGAUACCAACAGAAGAAGUGACGGCUAAAUACGUG